This is a long non-coding RNA of Solanum stenotomum, 232 nucleotides long. RefSeq lists it as uncharacterized. The transcript has 2 exons. Lineage: Eukaryota; Viridiplantae; Streptophyta; Magnoliopsida; Solanales; Solanaceae. The record is from RefSeq and is a predicted model, not a curated record.
AUCUUCAUCCACUUUUUAUCUUAAUAUACGCGUCCCUUCAGGCUUCCACCUUCCUCCACCUUGGUUGCUUCUUGUUCUGCUCGCUGAAGUUUACCGCUUUGCUUCUGCUUGAUGUCGCUUUUUCAAUUCAGGUAAAUUGUUGAAGAUGCAACAAAAACUGGACCAAGGAUAGUUUCAUCAUUUGGUUUCCUUUUGGGUUUUCGUGUGAUUUAAACACAGUAACAACUCACGC